This 196-nucleotide ribosomal RNA is filed under the name uncultured bacterium. RNAcentral describes it as "partial 16S ribosomal RNA". It matches the Rfam family "Bacterial small subunit ribosomal RNA", at positions 328 to 539 of the family's 1533-position model. The record is from RNAcentral.
ACGCUCGACACCUACGGGAGGCAGCAGUGGGGAAUAUUGCACAAUGGGGGAAACCCUGAUGCAGCGACGCCGCGUGAAGGAAGAAGUAUCUCGGUAUGUAAACUUCUAUCAGCAGGGAANAAAAUGACGGUACCUGACUAAGAAGCCCCGGCUAACUACGUGCCACAGCCGCGGUAAUCUGAGCGGCUGGCAAGGC